Molecule: long non-coding RNA, 363 nt
Organism: Amblyraja radiata (thorny skate)
Lineage: Eukaryota; Metazoa; Chordata; Chondrichthyes; Rajiformes; Rajidae
Exons: 3
Source: RefSeq, a predicted model, not a curated record
UUGACUAUGAAAUUGUAAAAUCUGCCGUCCUCAGAGCGUAUGAGUUGGUUCCCGAAGCGUACCACCAAAAACUCCAGCGUUUCAGAAAAUAUGAUAACCAAACAUAUGUUGAAUUUGCUCGUGAAAAGGAGGCUCUGUUUGAACGCUGGUGUGCUUCUCAGGGGGUAAAAGAUUUUGCCCAGUUAAAGUCCUUGAUGAUAAUGGAGGAUUUUAAAAACUGUCUUCCUGAAAGAGUGACAACAUAUCUUAAUGAGCAGAAAGUCUCAGACGUGUCUAAGGCCGCUGUAUUGGCGGAUGAAUAUGUGCUCACUCAUAAGGCAGUUUUUGGGGAGCGAUCCUCUGGUUUUAGAAAAAUAGAAACAU